CCUUCAUUUUCAAACUUUUUUUUCCUUGUAGAGAAUAAGUUUGGGGGAUGUGGCUGUGUGGGCACUCUUUCUCCUGCUUUUUGUUUGUUUUUUUUUUCAGUUGCUUAUGCAUGUUUUGGUGUUUUCUUUCGUUGUUUUUGGUGUCUUUGUUUCGUUGUUGAGUUUGUUAGUCUUUCUUAGAGGUGUCUCUGUGAUGUUACCUUGAUGGGGAUUCAAGUGUGUAUGGAUUGAUUGGAUGACUGGCUUAUGAUGAUUUAUGCUAAAAUUCUCGAACUACAUGCAUUUUGUGUUGGUAUUGUUGAAGCGAAGCAUGAUUGAUGAGCGACAAUUGUGGUCUCUAUGAUGUUUGUGAUCAAUAAAAUAAGCUGUGAGAUUUUAGCCUUGACUGUCACCUCAUUUACAGUCUUAUUUCUUUUUCUUGAGUGUUUGAUUUAGCAUGCAUGUUUCUAAUUAGAACUUUUUUUGGCUCUCCCUUGAGGUCAUGUAGUGUGCUUAAUAACCUUGAUAUCAUUAAAGGCCAUAUUUGCUAGCCAUUUCACUUCAUUGUUGUCCUUAUACUUGAUAUGAUCCUAGUUUACCCUUUUUUAGCCUAAUUGCCUAUUCGUUUGAUAUAGCCACGAUUAUGGGGAGGGUUUAAACUUGGUGAAUAUUGAAAAUUGUGAAUUAGGUUGAAAAGAUGCGUGAUUAGUCUUGUUCCCUGAUCUAAGAAAAUCUUAGCACCCUUUAAAAAAAAAAAAAAACAGGGCACAAGAUGUUGAUGAGAUGUGGUGAGAGCUAUGUUGAAAAAAAAAAUUGGUUUUGGAAAAUGAGGAUGGGGUGUGAUUUAUAAGAAGCUAUAAGGUUGGUGAUUGCAUUGCUUUUGGGCAUAUCUUUUAGUCAUUUAGCCAAAUAUAUC
RNAcentral lists this long non-coding RNA (895 nucleotides) under Salvia miltiorrhiza (redroot sage). Its description in RNAcentral is "long non-coding RNA (SMIL_LNC000832)". The record is from RNAcentral. Lineage: Eukaryota; Viridiplantae; Streptophyta; Magnoliopsida; Lamiales; Lamiaceae.